UACGAAGGGUGCAGGCGUUACUCGGAAUUACUGGGCGUAAAGCGUGCGUAGGUGGUUCGUUAAGUCUGAUGUGAAAGCCCUGGGCUCAACCUGGGAAUGGCAUUGGAAACUGGCGACCUAGAGUGCGGUAGAGGGUAGUGGAAUUCCCGGUGUAGCAGUGAAGUGCGUAGAGAUCGGGAGGAACAUCCGUGGCGAAGGCGACUACCUGGACCAGCACUGACACUGAGGCACGAAAGCGUGGGGAGCAAACAGG
RNAcentral lists this ribosomal RNA (253 nucleotides) under uncultured bacterium. RNAcentral describes it as "partial 16S ribosomal RNA". It matches the Rfam family "Bacterial small subunit ribosomal RNA", at positions 524 to 776 of the family's 1533-position model. The record is from RNAcentral.